RNAcentral lists this long non-coding RNA (3459 nucleotides) under Citrus maxima (pomelo). RNAcentral's name for it is "long non-coding RNA (CMAX_LNC004024)". Lineage: Eukaryota; Viridiplantae; Streptophyta; Magnoliopsida; Sapindales; Rutaceae. The record is from RNAcentral.
GGUUCUUCCUCUCUCUUUCUCUCUUAAAACCUAAAACAAAUUCUCUUUGUUUCAUUUUCCUUUUAAAUUAACUUCUCUCAUUUUCUUUUCCCCUCCAAAUUAUCACUUAUCAAGAAUUUGCGAGGAAUAACUUUUUUCCCGGUAAGCUUUUUUUUUUUUUGGGUGUGUGUGCAUUUAUUUAUAUAUUUUUUAUACUACCUAUUUAUAAUCAUAACCCAUGAUUUAGUUUGUUCUAAAAGAUGCCAUCAUUGUUAAUGUUUAAUCUUCUUCACGUUCAUGCAUGUUCUUGCUUUUCCGGUGGCAUUUUAAUGGAUAUAUCUAAUUCUCCGAUGGUAGCUGAAACUGCUUAAACCGGUCUUUUUUUUUUUUUUUUUGUAUUUCUAGAGUCUAGACCAUCAAUUGUGAUUCCCUUUGACGAUUUCUGUUACCGGAAAGACCGGUUGACAUAAAAUCUAGAACUAAGAAACAAAACGAAAAAGCGGUUGUUGUUCGUUGUUUCAAAAAUUUACGCUCUACGAAAUAAACGAGCGCGUGUGUAUCACGCUAGUCGAAGGUCAGGAGGAUUGAGUCACACGCGCGAUUGGAAGUGUUGUUAGAGUUAUGGAGAAGUUUCAGUUCGGUUACGAGUGAACUUUUUCUCUUUCUUUUUAGUAGUAAAAGGAAACGAAUGGCUUUCCACCGUACACGUGUCGUGACUAGGUCCCAUCUCUUGACUGGGCCUCGCGGCCCAUUUGACCUUAACCAUAGUUUUUAAAAGCUUUCUAGGGCCCAAGCACUUGGUUUUUUAAUUGGUCUCAUGUGCAAAUGACACGUGGUAAAACGUCUGAAAACAAAUGCCACGUGGUAAAACGUCUGAAAACAAAUGCCACGUGUAGAGUAGGAUGGCAGUGUCUCGCCGACAAGUCCCUUCAGUUACAUGGGAUCCACAGCGUAGGCUUUUUGAAAGAAACGACUCGUACCUAAAAAACCGGUCAGCAGCAUGUUAUGACGGUGAGUUGUUCUGGUGAUGGACACAACUCUUUCGCAUGCAAGCUUUAACUAAGGUUUUUGUCAACUUUAGUAAAUGAUUUUUUAUUUUUAGAUUUCAAAAAUUAGGAAAUUUUGGUAUACUUAGAGGUGGCUCUUUGUGAGUGGUUGUGACAACAAUAUAAUGUGCUACAGUCAUUAAAUUAAAAAUAAUAAUUUACUUAUAAAGUUGUGAUACAAAAUUAUAUUCUAAAUGGUGUAACAUUUGAUAUGUCAUUCAUUUCACUAAUAUUUUCAGUUAUUUUGUUACAGAUAUGUAAAAAGUCAACUAUUACAAUACAGUAAAUAAUGAUUAGUGAUUUUAAAUACAAAGGUUUCUUGUUGAAAAUUUCAUUAUCGUUACAAAUUAAAUAUAUCUGAAGAGUUUUCUAAUAGAGUGCAAGAAUUGAAGGCGUUGAGUUUUACUUAAAAAGUAGAGUAAAAUAAAUUUUCUUUUUCACUAUAAUUAUCAGUGUUUUCAGAAAAGUUUUUAUCUUUGCCAUUAGCUAUGUGUAGUUCGUCAUUGAUUUGUUUGGAUUUAUCAUAUAGAAAAACCGACCAUCUAUCUAUAAAAUAUUAACUAUUAAAGAUCUCAAAGCUGUUCCUAUACUACUUUAAAAACAUUUCAUACAAAAUCAUUAAGUUCAUUGUUUGAUACCUGGCAAACAAUGCCCUAUUGGUCGGUCGGUCAAUGCAUUAUUAGGUCAAAACAAUAGAUGCUUUACUUAGAACAGAAGUCACUAUGAAGCUUUCGAAAACAUUCUUCAUCAUCAUAAUCAAUUUAAAAUGAUCCAAGACUUGACUUCUAACAUAUAUGAAUGUUUUAAGUUUUAACUGCGGUUCCUAGUAGUUUCAUUAGACCCAGACACCUUUGUCUGCUUCCAAGAAAGACUUUUCGAUAAGUCUAAUAUUUGUCUAAAACGUGUCCUUCGUACAACGCCAAAAGAUUUUCCAAUUGUUACUUUUGCGUCGGACACGGGAUAUCUGUCUUUUUGUUCUCUUUGUUUAUUAUUUUAUUUUUUUAACUUUUCUUUUUUCCAAGUGAAAAUUUUCUCACUUUUCACACUUUCGGUUUAAAAGAAAGUCAUGGUCCUCACUCCUCAUUGAUGGCGAAAUUUUUCAAAAGAGGGCAAGUCAAUUCAUGGCUUCGUAGGAUACACGUGUGUCCUUGGGACCUGUCGUAUGUGCAUGCAUGCUAGGGUUUUUGUUUGGUGUCGUGAUUAGCGGAACACACGAGUACACAACUACUCUUUCUAAUUGCUUUUCCAAUUAAAAAUGAAUUAAGGAUCCCUCUAAAUUACAUGUAUGUACCUUACAUUCCUAUCACAUAAAUAAUAUCCAACUUAGCAUUACCCAUGAAUUAAUUGGCGGUAGUAAGAGUUUUACUACGAGCACAAUAAACAAAGCGAUCUUGUAGGAAAAAGUCUGAGGACCAAUUAGUAAAUGAUGCAUCAACUGGGGACUAAAAAGGAAAACCACCUUUUUCCGUUCUUUAAAAAAAAUAUAUAUAUAUUGACAAGUACACAAUUAUGUGAUGUAAUAUUAGAGACGUUGAUUUCGGUUAACGUAUGCCCUGAGCUACUCAUGAAGAGGACCCAUGUCAAUAAUGUCUUUAUGCCCUUAAAUUAAAUUAGUCUAGUUCAAUUCUGUUGGAAAAUGAAGUAGCUAUUAUGGUAGUUAAAGUGGAGCCAUACAUUCUAUUUAUUAAUUAUUUAUUACUAUAUUACAUAUAUUUAAAUCUAAUGUUGUUUAAAAUCUUUAAUUUCUAGCUAGUUCAUGUCACAGUCAUCCGAAUCAGAUGAUUGUAACUAUACUCGAGUUUGAAUUUAACUAGCCAUGUAAUGUUGAGUCAUCGAAUCUAAUUUAUUUGAUCAAUUGUGUUAAUUUGCUCACUUUUGUCUUUUAAUAUUGUCACAAUUUGUACUUUGUCUUCGACAUAAGUGGUUCCCCUUGAAACUGGAAAGUGACAUUUAUUUAUUUAUUUUUUUCCUUAAACUUUCUGUUCUUGGAUAAUGGAUAAUGGCUCGGUUCACAAACACUUGUGGCAUAAUUGUUUCUUGAAAAUGACCUUAAAAAAAAAAAGUACUUCAAUCAUUUUUUUAUACGUAUAUGCAGGUGCUGUAUUACACCACAGACCUUUGAAAUGUUGACCCGAAAGCUUCACUUCACCUAUUUCCCAACUAUCAGAAGAUUUUAAGAACCUACUUAACCAGAGCAUUUUCUAUGUGAUUAUUAUUAUUAAUUAUAAUUAUUAGUUCAUGUAUUUAGAGAAGUAUUAUGUGUAAUUGUCACGGCGUUGAAACCUCACAUCAAGAGUGCUUUCGAAAGUAUUUUGGAAAGCAAAAGAAUAUUUUGUUUUAUGUUAUCUGAAAGCAAUUAGCAACAUUGGUAAUAUAUAUAAUAUCAACAACACUUUUAAAUACAAUUUAAUUGAUAUAAUUGGUUCUCUGGCAG